RNAcentral lists this ribosomal RNA (1424 nucleotides) under Limosilactobacillus reuteri. RNAcentral describes it as "bacterial SSU rRNA". It matches the Rfam family "Bacterial small subunit ribosomal RNA". Lineage: Bacteria; Bacillati; Bacillota; Bacilli; Lactobacillales; Lactobacillaceae. RNAcentral also lists the same sequence under 1 other name. The record is from RNAcentral.
AGUCGUACGCACUGGCCCAACUGAUUGAUGGUGCUUGCACCUGAUUGACGAUGGAUCACCAGUGAGUGGCGGACGGGUGAGUAACACGUAGGUAACCUGCCCCGGAGCGGGGGAUAACAUUUGGAAACAGAUGCUAAUACCGCAUAACAACAAAAGCCACAUGGCUUUUGUUUGAAAGAUGGCUUUGGCUAUCACUCUGGGAUGGACCUGCGGUGCAUUAGCUAGUUGGUAAGGUAACGGCUUACCAAGGCGAUGAUGCAUAGCCGAGUUGAGAGACUGAUCGGCCACAAUGGAACUGAGACACGGUCCAUACUCCUACGGGAGGCAGCAGUAGGGAAUCUUCCACAAUGGGCGCAAGCCUGAUGGAGCAACACCGCGUGAGUGAAGAAGGGUUUCGGCUCGUAAAGCUCUGUUGUUGGAGAAGAACGUGCGUGAGAGUAACUGUUCACGCAGUGACGGUAUCCAACCAGAAAGUCACGGCUAACUACGUGCCAGCAGCCGCGGUAAUACGUAGGUGGCAAGCGUUAUCCGGAUUUAUUGGGCGUAAAGCGAGCGCAGGCGGUUGCUUAGGUCUGAUGUGAAAGCCUUCGGCUUAACCGAAGAAGUGCAUCGGAAACCGGGCGACUUGAGUGCAGAAGAGGACAGUGGAACUCCAUGUGUAGCGGUGGAAUGCGUAGAUAUAUGGAAGAACACCAGUGGCGAAGGCGGCUGUCUGGUCUGCAACUGACGCUGAGGCUCGAAAGCAUGGGUAGCGAACAGGAUUAGAUACCCUGGUAGUCCAUGCCGUAAACGAUGAGUGCUAGGUGUUGGAGGGUUUCCGCCCUUCAGUGCCGGAGCUAACGCAUUAAGCACUCCGCCUGGGGAGUACGACCGCAAGGUUGAAACUCAAAGGAAUUGACGGGGGCCCGCACAAGCGGUGGAGCAUGUGGUUUAAUUCGAAGCUACGCGAAGAACCUUACCAGGUCUUGACAUCUUGCGCUAACCUUAGAGAUAAGGCGUUCCCUUCGGGGACGCAAUGACAGGUGGUGCAUGGUCGUCGUCAGCUCGUGUCGUGAGAUGUUGGGUUAAGUCCCGCAACGAGCGCAACCCUUGUUACUAGUUGCCAGCAUUAAGUUGGGCACUCUAGUGAGACUGCCGGUGACAAACCGGAGGAAGGUGGGGACGACGUCAGAUCAUCAUGCCCCUUAUGACCUGGGCUACACACGUGCUACAAUGGACGGUACAACGAGUCGCAAGCUCGCGAGAGUAAGCUAAUCUCUUAAAGCCGUUCUCAGUUCGGACUGUAGGCUGCAACUCGCCUACACGAAGUCGGAAUCGCUAGUAAUCGCGGAUCAGCAUGCCGCGGUGAAUACGUUCCCGGGCCUUGUACACACCGCCCGUCACACCAUGGGAGUUUGUAACGCCCAAAGUCGGUGGCCUAACCA